Non-coding RNA from Arachis ipaensis, 1130 nucleotides. The record is from RefSeq and is a predicted model, not a curated record. Lineage: Eukaryota; Viridiplantae; Streptophyta; Magnoliopsida; Fabales; Fabaceae.
UUAUUGUAAUUGGAAAAGAUGAAAAAAGAGAAUUCAACUCCUUCAUGAAGUAAAUAAAUCAUUUGCAUUGAUUGCCGUGAAACAUGUCUUUUUCUUUGUUCAGAUUCUUAUGAAUUUUAUCCGUUGCUCAGGCUAAUCAAGAAUGGGGAAAUAUAUUCCCUGUGUUCAAGGAAAUAUCUAUCACUAGCAAUGCAUUAGAAAGGGUUCUUGCUUUGGAGAUUGAGCUUGCUGAAACAUUGCAGGCCAAGAAGAAAUCAAGCAUGCAAUUUCAGAGUAGGAUUGUUGUUAUUUUGAAGCUCAUCCAACAGAGUCAACGUUUGGUGCCUGAUGAAAUUCAGUUGAGCCAAGUUCUGGAUUUCAGCCUUCAUCCUCAAGAACUCAAGUCUGUGUCUUAUAACACGAUAUACCACGCAAUUAGGCAAGUUUCUUCCAUCUUCUAUUCCAUUUUAUUCAUUUUAGCAGUCACUGUUGCUUUUUGGUACAUCAUUGAUCAAUUGACAUUGGUCCAAGUAACAUAAAAAACAUAUAAAAAAUGGAAAUGGAGAGAAUAUUAUUGACUGUUGAUAACUCGAUGUAACUCAUCCAGUAGGUUGAAAAUGACACCAAGUAGUGUUUUAAUUAAGCUCUUUGCUGUUUCUGGAGAUGCUUCAACAAUGCAUACUAUGCAAGAGUUGGAGGAGUAAGCACAUCUGAAUUUAAUUCCCUCUGGUUUGUUGCAGGGAACAGCGUCAGUGGUCCUCGCCAGACUUGUUGCCACUACAAAAAAAGAAGUAUAAAAGAGAAAGGAAGUCCCAAUCUCUCAGAUCUAAAAUUCCAUCCGAAGACGCGAAGUUCUACGGAGUUUGCUGUCACAGAAGGAGGAAACUUUUGGCCUCCAAAUCUUAUUCAUCAUCAUUUAGCUAAGCUACUUGUCUUGUAUAUUCAUAUUUUACGUCGUAAAAACAGCACUUAUUAGAUGGUUUAAAUACAUUAUUAGAUAUUAACAUAGUUUAGGGAAUUGGAUGGUAGAUUUGACUAAUUAGUGUUUAUUACAAUGCUUGUAUUUUGGUAAGUUUAGUAAGACAAGGUUUUGUAUAGGAGUUAUUACUUUUGAUUUUCAAUAAUAAAAAAUUAUAUAUUAUAUUAAUAUU